Molecule: transfer RNA, 77 nt
Filed under: Capnocytophaga gingivalis ATCC 33624
Lineage: Bacteria; Pseudomonadati; Bacteroidota; Flavobacteriia; Flavobacteriales; Flavobacteriaceae
Description: tRNA-Glu
Rfam family: tRNA
About the family: Transfer RNA (tRNA) molecules are approximately 80 nucleotides in length. Their secondary structure includes four short double-helical elements and three loops (D, anti-codon, and T loops). Further hydrogen bonds mediate the characteristic L-shaped molecular structure. tRNAs have two regions of fundamental functional importance: the anti-codon, which is responsible for specific mRNA codon recognition, and the 3' end, to which the tRNAs corresponding amino acid is attached (by aminoacyl-tRNA synthetases). tRNAs cope with the degeneracy of the genetic code in two manners: having more than one tRNA (with a specific anti-codon) for a particular amino acid; and 'wobble' base-pairing, i.e. permitting non-standard base-pairing at the 3rd anti-codon position.
Source: RNAcentral
UGGUCCGUUCGUCUAGGGGUUAGGACGCAAGGUUUUCAUCCUUGUAACAGGGGUUCGAUUCCCCUACGGACUACUAC